GACGAACGCUGGCGGCGUGCUUAACACAUGCAAGUCGAACGAUGAAGCCGGAGCUUGCUCUGGUGGAUUAGUGGCGAACGGGUGAGUAACACGUGAGUAACCUGCCCUUGACUCUGGGAUAAGCGUUGGAAGCGACGUCUAAUACCGGAUACGAGCUAGGACCGCAUGGUCACUAGCUGGAAAGAACUUCGGUCAAGGAUGGACUCGCGGCCUAUCAGUUAGUUGGUGAGGUAACGGCUCACCAAGACGGCGACGGGUAGCCGGCCUGAGAGGGUGACCGGCCACACUGGGACUGAGACACGGCACAGACUCCAACGGGAGGCAGCAGUGUGGAAUAUUGCUCAAUGGGCGCAAGCCUGAUGCAGCAACGCCGCGUGAGGGACGACGGCCUUCGGGUUGUAAACCUCUUUUAGCAGGGAAGAAGCGCAAGUGACGGUACCUGCAGAAAAAGCACCGGCUAACUACGUGCCAGCAGCCGCCGUAA
RNAcentral lists this ribosomal RNA (484 nucleotides) under uncultured bacterium. RNAcentral describes it as "partial 16S ribosomal RNA". It matches the Rfam family "Bacterial small subunit ribosomal RNA", at positions 28 to 523 of the family's 1533-position model. The record is from RNAcentral.